This is a long non-coding RNA of Xenia sp. Carnegie-2017, 146 nucleotides long. RefSeq lists it as uncharacterized. The record is from RefSeq and is a predicted model, not a curated record. The transcript has 3 exons. Lineage: Eukaryota; Metazoa; Cnidaria; Anthozoa; Malacalcyonacea; Xeniidae.
UACAUGGGAGUGAGCCUUUGUGGAGAUGCAAUAUCCAAACAUGCAAUCGAAGAAGGAUGGCCUCGCCAUAAGCGUCGUUUUAUACCUUCAAAAAAUGUGAUCACUGUGAUGAUUAUCUUGUAAAACCCUCGUGUGGGCAUGUAUCG